CCUACGGCAGGCUGCAGUGGGGAAUAUUGCACAAUGGGGGAAACCCUGAUGCAGCGACGCCGCGUGAGUGAAGAAGCGUUUCGGCGCGUAAAGCUCUGUCAGCGGGGAAGAAACACGGUUCGCGAGAGCCGCGGACGGUACCCGACCAAGAAGCCCCGGCUAACUACGUGCCAGCAGCCGCGGUAAUACGUAGGGGGCAAGCGUUAUCCGGAUUCACUGGGGGUAAAGGGAGCGUAGACGGCGAGACAAGUUUGGAGUGAAAGGCCGGGGCCCAACCCCGGAACUGCUCUGGAAACUGCCUGGCUAGAGAACAGGAGAGGUAGGUGGAAUUCAUGGUGUAGCGGUGAAAUGCGUAGAUAUUAGGAGGAACACCAGUGGCGAAGGCGGCUUACUGGACUGUAACUGACGUUGAGGCUCGAAAGCGUGGGGAGCAAACAGGAUUAGAUACCCUGGUAGUC
This 458-nucleotide ribosomal RNA is filed under the name uncultured bacterium. RNAcentral's name for it is "partial 16S ribosomal RNA". It matches the Rfam family "Bacterial small subunit ribosomal RNA", at positions 338 to 795 of the family's 1533-position model. The record is from RNAcentral.